This 507-nucleotide ribosomal RNA is filed under the name uncultured bacterium. RNAcentral describes it as "partial 16S ribosomal RNA". It matches the Rfam family "Bacterial small subunit ribosomal RNA", at positions 28 to 507 of the family's 1533-position model. The record is from RNAcentral.
GACGAACGCUGGCGGCGUGCCUAAUACAUGCAAGUCGAACGCAUUUUCUUCCAACUUAGUUUUCUACCGCUAAAGACAGUGAGUGGCGUAACGGUUAGUAACCCGUCGUUAACCUGCCCAUCAGCUGGGGGAAACACUUGCAAAUAGGUGCUAAUAUCUCAUAAUUCCUUUUACCGUAUUGUAGAACGAUUUUAGUGUCUUUUGUAUCACUAUUCGCUCGGCCUGCGGUGCAUUAGCUAGUUGGGGAGGUAACGGCCUACCAAGGCUGCGAUGCCUAAGCGACCUGGGAGGGUGGACGGCCACACUGGGACUGAGACACGGCCCAGGAUCCUACGGGAGGGAGCAGUAGGGAAACUUCGGCAAUGGACGGAAGUCUGAACGAGCAACGCCGGGUGAGGGAAGAAGGUUUUCGGAAUGGAAAAAUCUGUUGUUAGGGGAGAACAAGAAGGAGAGGGGAAAGUGCACGCCUUGACGGUAUCUAACCAGAAAGCCACGGCUAACUACGUG